Long non-coding RNA from Oreochromis niloticus (Nile tilapia), 4979 nucleotides. RefSeq lists it as uncharacterized. The transcript is spliced from 2 exons. The record is from RefSeq and is a predicted model, not a curated record. Lineage: Eukaryota; Metazoa; Chordata; Actinopteri; Cichliformes; Cichlidae.
AAAACUUCUGAAAUUCCCCUACUCAUAAAGCAAAUGUGUCAAUGGCUGUUACUGCUCAUACAGUAGGUGUGAAUGAGCAAAAAUUAAACUCUCUCUAGAUGUGCAAAGCUGGUAGAGACAUACCCCAAAAGACUUGCAGCUAUAAUUACAGCGAAAGGUGGCUCUAAAAAGUAUUGAUGCAGGGGGGCUGAAAACAAAUGCACGCCACACUUUUUAGAUUUUUAUUUGCUUGAAAUUUUGAAAACCAUGUAUCACUUUCAUACCACUUCACAAAUAUGUUCUACUUUGUGUUGGUCUAUCACAGAAAAUCUCAAAUAAUAACAUUUUAGUUUGUGGUUGUAAGGUGACAAAAUGUAUAAAAAUUUCCUGAUUGUGUUAUAUUUAUUUUUCAGAAACUAGAUUUUUGUUUUUAGAGGUUUUUAUGUGGCUCUCAUCCAACGCGGUAUUUCUUUAUUCACUUAAAACACAGAGGCUGCGCUGUGAAAACAGAAAACAUGAGUGUGCAGCCGGCAGAGGAAAUAAAUUUCUUGUUCACCGACUUUGAAACACCACAGCAGCAGCCCUCAUCGGCUCCAACCCUGCUCCCCUCCUCAUCCUCAUCCUGACCUGGUUCCUGCAUCGCUCCACUCACUGUAACAGAACACAAUAUCAGACGCGUGUUCCUAGCAGUGAACCCCAGGAAGGCUGCCGGUCCAGACGGAGUAACUGGCAAGGUGCUAAGAGCAUGUGCCCACCAGCUCACCCUCAUCUUCAACCUCUCACAAGAUCAGGCAGCCAUCCCACCCAGUCUAAAAUCAACCACAGUCAACCCAGUGCCAAAGAAGUCUCCCAUCACUAGCCUGAAUGAUUACCGCCCUGUGGCCCUCACGCCGGUAAUCAUGAAAUGCUUUGAAAGACUAAUACUUCAGCACAUCAAGAACUACCUGCCCCCAAACCUUGAUGCCAUCCCCAUAGCCCUCCACGCUGUGCUGAGCCACCUGGAACAGCGACAGAGCUACGUCCGAAUGCUCUUUGUGGACUACAGCUCAGCCUCCAAUACAAUCAUCCUGGAUAUUCUUAUCACUCAUGUGAAUGAGUUUUGUGUGUGUGAAUUAACCUGGCCUUGUGUUUCACACACAGGACUUAUCCUUGGCUCCCUCCCAUCAGUUUCACACACCUGGAGGUGAUGAGCUCACCUGUUGUUUGUUUUUAGUCUUUGCUUGGUUGUUUAACUAAUCACAGUUCCUCUGUACAGGAAUGCUCUCUCUUUCUGUCAGUACUCUUGCUGCAGUAUUUUGGAUUAACUUGAACAUCCUGAUAAUAAGCAGUUACAGUAGUCCAGGCUAGAAGUGAUAAAUGCUUGCUGGAGAGAACCCACAGAGACUUAGGGAGAACAGGACAACUCCACACAAAAACCAACCGGGCGUUGGAUUCAAACCAGGACCUUCUUACUGUGAAGGGACAGUGCUUGCCGCUGCACCACCACGCCACCCAGAGUCAGAACCAAAGCAUUCAAACUAGUUUAUAAAGUGGGUCCGCAUGCUCCAACAUUAGUGUGUGUGGUAUAAAAUAACAUGUUUGAUAGUGAAACACACUCAAACUAAACUUUGUAGCUCUGUGUGGACGAUUCACUAAAGAACACGAAUCGCAGACGGUUCUGUCUGCUCUUUUCUCUCUGUGUUAUAUCAGCACAUAUAUCACACUGCUGCUGACCUCACAGCUGGGCUGACCUCUGGCUCUCUGCUCUCUCAGAUAUGGCGACAUGGUAGCAAAGACCAUAAUGGGGAAGAUCUUCAGCUCCAUCUGCUCUCUAAGUGGCAUGCUGGUCAUUGCCCUGCCGGUCCCUGUCAAAUUUAGCCGAAUCUACCACCAGAACCAGUGAGAAGAAACGACCGCAAAAGUACAUGACAACAUCACAAGAUUCAGAUCAUCUGGAGAAAUCUCCUUGUGCAACUCAGUGCACCGUGCCUUCCACACAUGCAGGUUAAAGCACCAUCAUGGCUCCAUCGUCAGUGCCUAUGAGGCUGGCAGCUGGCACAUCUGGAAAGGCUCCAUUAGACCGGAACAGGUGCUCUCCUCAGCUGACAAACCAUCACAGACUGAUGUUAGAGAGGAAACAUGGACCCGUCCUACUUCACAGAUGUGUCGCUGCCAUGAGAUUCAACACAAGCUAAUAUUUUAAUUAAAAUGGUUCCUUUUCUCAGUUUAAACAUGUAAUGUUUCUGUGUUGUGAAUAAAAUGAGUUCAUGAGGUUUGAAAACCAUCACAUUCUGUUUGUAUUUAUGAUUUAGACAGAAAUACAAACAGACAGCAUCCCAGCUGUUUGGAACUGGGGUCGAAUAAAUACAUAAAUGAAGCACGAACACUAACAGUGUGAGCGCUGCAUACAGACUGUAUGUAAACACAUGGCUCCAGAGAUCAUGUGACACUGUACUCCCAUGCAGAGUCAGAGAGCAGGAAUCCAGAAUAUGUCCAGCUGUGGGAGGUCUGGGAACGACUCCCAAACAUGGACAGCUGGGAAAGGUCAUUUCUGUGACAUCCUGUUUCUGCCAUAUCAGUAACAUCAGUGCUGGAAGUGUAACUAUCCGAUCCUGCCAACCAGAACUUAAACAACAUAAAAACCAAAUUCCUCACACUGUGUUAGACUUCAGGGCCUGGUGUUUCCACUGCUGCUGUUCUACAUCUGAAGCUGAGCUGAGUUACUGCGUCACACCUGAAUUGUAUUUGAAUAAUAAAUGAUGUGCUGCUAGAGUUCCAUUCUUAUUAUGGAACAUCUUUUAAAAAAUAACCAUAAUUUAGUGUUAUUCAAAGUAACCAUGACUAUACAAGGCAGAUGAGUGCAGGUUAAACAGGUGGGUGUGUGAUGGACGGGUACAGAGCAGGUGAUGGUUGGAUUCAGCACCACAUCACUUUUAUACCAGCUUCAGACUGUCUGCAGCUGCAAACCAGCCACCACUGGAACAACUGCUCCUCUAUGAGCAUCAGCUGCUCCACCACAGCAGAUCCUGUUCCCCCUGGAACUCACAGUCAGUGGUUACUGUGAUGGCCAGCAGCAGCUGGAGGCUUCCUGAGGUUCAGACCAACCAGUUGUUUAUUCAGUAAUAUUGAAAAUCACAAAUCUCUUACGCACAGGUGGCACAUGGCCCCGUAUUAAACUAAACCUAGAAUCUAAAAUGAGAGCAGAUAUAACUGUCCAUCCCGUGGUGCCCCUGGAACCUUUAAAAAGGUACUCAGGAUGCUGGGCGACUCUUGGCCUGAACACCUAGAGGAGAUCUUCACUGAGGAGUAAACACAGGAAACGAUAAAAGAUGACGGAUGUCUCUGUGAGCGUGUUCUUUUAUACAAACACUGAGUGAUGCGUGUGUGCACAUGUACGGUUUAAAACAGGACCUGACGCAUUUCUCAGUCUUCACACUGCACUGCUGACUGUACUGCCUGCCCCUCAGAGCGACCCCUGCGUGGGGUCGGAGGGACCCCUGUGUGGGGUCGGGAUGCUUCUGCUGUCAUAUGUCCGUAAAUGCGCUGACUCAAGCUCCAGAUAUGAAGAGCUCCAUGGUCAUGGCCAUCAUGUCAGUGUGGUCACAUGACCAAGUGUGAAAGGAACAGCUCUCCAGAUGUGCCUUUCACACUUGGUCAUGUGACCGCACUGACACAAAUGCUAGCCUAUCCACAGCCUCACAGCAGGUUGUGAAACACACUGAAUAUAACCCACAGAUUAUUUCUCAGGGCCACAGGACAGACAGAAUGAUUUAUGAGCCGGGCUUGUCUGUUUUUGAAGGGACAGGCUUGGGUUCAGGUACGUAGGUUUGUGAGUAAAUAGCUCAAACAAAGAUGAAGUUCAGUUUGUCACACGCUGAAUCACACGACUCAUCAAACACAAGGAAACACGAGUUUGACGUGGUUUUGAUGUGAGAGCGGUGUAUGAUCAGAGACAGUCUCAGAGGCCUGUGCGAUACGUGAAAUGCUGUGAAACUACACAAUGAUCAGAUGAGUGUACAAUAAGCCGUGUGAUAUAAAAAUAGACGUGGCGAGUAAAGCGAGCCGGUCUGCCCUCACAGACGCUGGCAGCCUGAAUGAAACAGCGCUGGACAGUUGAGGCCGGAGCGACGAGAGUCAGCGACCUAUUAAUAAAGCGUACAGUGGUAGUAGAGGUAGGAUUUCAUGCUCGCUGGAUGUGCAGAGCUUUUCACUGCAAGCAGCUGACACCCUGUAUCCAUGUUACCGUCUCCGCUUUCUCCCAGCAGCUGCAGGAAUGUCACAGGUUUCACUCCAAAUCCAGAAGCUCCUCCCACAUCGCCCCAUCUCAAUAAUCUGAAAUAUCAUCACAGCAAACAGUUUGUGAGAGUUGGGUCAUCCACAGAUGCCCUCACCUGAGUAUCAGAACAAAGCUGUGAGGUUAUUUUAGUCCCAGCUGUUACAGUAAGGAGCCAUGAAAGUGCAGAGGAGAAGCCGUCCGUCUCAAACAGCUUUAAUAUUUUGUUUUAUUCCAGUGAAAACGCUGCAAUAACAAACAAUAAAUAUCCAACACCAUGCACAGACUCUUACACUUCCUGUGGGUGUACAGUCUCUCAGAGAGCUCCAUAAAUAAUCCAAUUCAAAAGUCAUCUAAUGUUCCAGUGGCUCCUGACACAGCUGUCAGGAAAACAUCUGGAGUCCGUCUCCAAGCGGCUGUGUCCAUAUGUUUGGUCUCAUUAGAGGCGGGGAGUCCAAACAGGAGGAAGUCUGUUCUCUAACAUGUUCUCUGACUUCAUCAUCCCCAAGAACAAAAUCAGCUCCUUUAGAGUUCACGAUGUCUGACAGGAACAGCCUCCUCUCUUCCUCACCUGUCUCACUUGUCUCCUCCAGACCUGCAGUAAGCCCCCAUUCAGUCCAUUCUCAGUUUACAGUCUGUUCUUCAGACGACUCACAGUCCACCAAGAGAAGAACGAACAGAGCAGCAGCUACACCCAAUACCAUCACCUGUCAGACUGUCAGAGUGGGAACGCCUUCACUCUGACCAA